CUACGGGUUGCAGCAGUGGGGAAUAUUGGACAAUGGGCGAAAGCCUGAUCCAGCAAUGCCGCGUGUGUGAAGAAGGCCUGCGGGUUGUAAAGCACUUUCAGCUGGGAAGAUUAUGACGGUACCAGCAGAAGAAGCACCGGCUAACUCCGUGCCAGCAGCCACGGUAAUACGGAGGGUGCAAGCGUUAAUCGGAAUUACUGGGCGUAAAGCGCGCGUAGGCGGCUAAGUAAGUCAGGUGUGAAAGCCCUGGGCUCAACCUGGGAACUGCAUUUGAUACUGCUUGGCUAGAGUAUGGUAGAGGGGAGUGGAAUUCCAGGUGUAGCGGUGACAUGCGUAGAUAUCUGGAAGAACAUCAGUGGCGAAGGCGACUCCCUGGCCCAAUACUGACGCUGAGGUGCGAAAGCGUGGGGAGCAAACAGGAUUAGAUACCCGAGUAGUC
RNAcentral lists this ribosomal RNA (439 nucleotides) under uncultured bacterium. RNAcentral's name for it is "partial 16S ribosomal RNA". It matches the Rfam family "Bacterial small subunit ribosomal RNA", at positions 339 to 795 of the family's 1533-position model. The record is from RNAcentral.